ACAGCAGCAGCCGCGGGAAUACAGAGGGUGCGAGCGUUAAUCGGAUUUACUGGGCGUAAAGCGUGCGUAGGCGGCUUUUUAAGUCGGAUAUGAAAUCCCUGAGCUUAACUUAGGAAUUGCAUUCGAUACUGGGAAGCUAGAGUAUGGGAGAGGAUGGUAGAAUUCCAGGUGUAGCGGUGAAAUGCGUAGAGAUCUGGAGGAAUACCGAUGGCGAAGGCAGCCAUCUGGCCUAAUACUGACGCUGAGGUACGAAAGCAUGGGGAGCAAACAGGAUUAGAUACCCGCGUAGUCCCUGUCUCUUAUAC
Molecule: ribosomal RNA, 305 nt
Filed under: uncultured bacterium
Lineage: Bacteria
Description: partial 16S ribosomal RNA
Rfam family: Bacterial small subunit ribosomal RNA
Source: RNAcentral